AUAUUAGAAGAAUGUUUUUCCAUUUCCUUUGAUGUCCUUUACAAGUUGCAUCUCAUUUCCUG
Molecule: unclassified non-coding RNA, 62 nt
Organism: Bison bison bison
Lineage: Eukaryota; Metazoa; Chordata; Mammalia; Artiodactyla; Bovidae
Source: Ensembl